GCGAGAGAGCUUGCUCUCUUGGCGGCGAGUGGCGGACGGCCGAGUAAUAUAUCGGAACGUGCCCAGUAGCGGGGGAUAACUACUCGAAAGAGUGGCUAAUACCGCAUACGCCCUACGGGGGAAAGGGGGGGAUCGCAAGACCUCUCACUAUUGGAGCGGCCGAUAUCGGAUUAGCUAGUUGGUGGGGUAAAGGCUCACCAAGGCAACGAUCCGUAGCUGGUUUGAGAGGACGACCAGCCACACUGGGACUGAGACACGGCCCAGACUCCUACGGGAGGCAGCAGUGGGGAAUUUUGGACAAUGGGGGAAACCCUGAUCCAGCCAUCCCGCGUGUAUGAUGAAGGCCUUCGGGUUGUAAAGUACUUUUGGCAGAGAAGAAAAGGUAUCCCCUAAUACGGGAUACUGCUGACGGUAUCUGCAGAAUAAGCACCGGCUAACUACGUGCCAGCAGCCGCGGUAAUACGUAGGGUGCAAGCGUUAAUCGGAAUUACUGGGCGUAAAGCGUGUGUAGGCGGUUCGGAAAGAAAGAUGUGAAAUCCCAGGGCUCAACCUUGGAACUGCAUUUUUAACUGCCGAGCUAGAGUAUGUCAGAGGGGGGUAGAAUUCCACGUGUAGCAGUGAAAUGCGUAGAUAUGUGGAGGAAUACCGAUGGCGAAGGCAGCCCCCUGGGAUAAUACUGACGCUCAGACACGAAAGCGUG
Molecule: ribosomal RNA, 700 nt
Filed under: Alcaligenes faecalis
Lineage: Bacteria; Pseudomonadati; Pseudomonadota; Betaproteobacteria; Burkholderiales; Alcaligenaceae
Description: bacterial SSU rRNA
Rfam family: Bacterial small subunit ribosomal RNA
Source: RNAcentral